AUGGAAGCCGCCGACGAGCUGAAGCGUGCACGUGGCGGCGGCGGCGGCCUUGGGCAUUCCGUGGACCGGCUGAGUGCACUGCCGGACGACAUCCUGCACGCCGUCCUUUCGCGCCUCAAUGCCCGGCAGGUCGUGCGGACGUGCGUGCUGUCCACGAGGUGGAGGCAUCUCUGGCGCUCCGUGCCCUGCCUCCGCAUCGACCAGCGGGAGUUCCAUGCCGCCGACGGCUCCCUUGCCGAGCGGCAGCAGUUCAAGAACUUCACCCACAUCCUGCUGCACCGCCAUGACGUCGCGCUCCUAGAAGAUUUUCGUCUCCUCGUGCACCAUGGUAGUGAUAUGCCUCACUAUGACGACAGCUGGGUCCGCCGCGGCAUAAGUCAAGAUGAGACAUGGCCAUGUCGGCUCAAAAAAUUGCACCUUACCAACGUGUUUUUGGAUGGUUAUUUCUUGAGGCACAUCAAUUCGCGGUGCCCUGCUCUGGAGGACAUGAAACUGGAAAACUGCAGCUACUUGCUCACCGAUGAUACUAGCAUCUCCUCCCCCUCGCUGAAGAAAUUGGUUAUCAUCGGGUUCCGCCGUUCAUCACUGGAGAGCUUUUUUUGCCAUUUGAUUUUGGAGGCUCAUGCUCUUGCUUCCCUCGGCCUGGAAGGGGGUUAUUUUGAUAUCAUCGAUACAUGCCUGCCAAAUUCCAUGCCAUCUCUUGUCGAUGCAUCAAUCCGUCUGACUGAGAGCGAGGAGUUCAACUACAACAACGAUGGACAUAACUACCAGAUUCGGAAGCAAUUGUCUUUCCUCGAAGAGCUUUCCAACGUGACCAGUUUAAGUUUGGCUCGUUUCGGGGUCAUGUUUCUUGUCAUUGAUGAUGAUGCUGGUCAUUACUUCCCUGAGUUCAAAAACCUCAAGAAAUUGUCCCUGGUCGAGUGUGAUAUCAGUGAUGACUUCCUCACGCUGGAGCAUUUCCUGCGGAACUCGCCUGAGCUGGAGAAGCUCACUUUGCGCUGUUGCAAGCUCUCGGAUUCCAGACCUAAAAGAUCUAGAAAGAGGAUAAUGGAAAAGGCUCACUCAUAUUCCAAUGGCAUGGCAAGUAUUGAGUGCAAGAACCUCAGGCUCACUGAAGUCAUAUAUGACGAUGAUGAUGUCCACCUAUUAGUCAAGUUUUUGUUGGGCAUGUCGAAGAAUAUGCCAAACAAUAAGAUCGAGAUCACUAAAUUUGAUUAG
RNAcentral lists this ribosomal RNA (1218 nucleotides) under Triticum aestivum (bread wheat). RNAcentral describes it as "partial small subunit ribosomal RNA". The record is from RNAcentral. Lineage: Eukaryota; Viridiplantae; Streptophyta; Magnoliopsida; Poales; Poaceae.